UGGCAGCUGCUGACAGAGACGACACGUGUAAAGAGAGUGCCAGCGCGGGUUCUUUUCCCCUGCUUUUUCUUUUUUCAACUCUUUUUUAAUGAUCGCCUUCUUGCCGAGGGUACGAAUGGUUGGCUCUCGCUCUCCCUCUUGUUCUUCCUGGUGACCAAAAAUCAAUGUUCUCGAGGCGGAACGACGGAUUUUGAGCUGAGAUUGGAGGCGUAUCGGUUGCGGAAGGUGGUGGUACUAUCGGGCAGCAAGCGGGGCGACCUCUUUGUGACAGUGAUUCGGAGGGGAUGGGAAAGGGUCGGACGGAUUCGUCGUCGGAGGCAGCGAAGGAUCUUGGGGGAGAGCCACCACCCAGAUCUGGAGUACGACCAACCAUGACAGAAGAUUCCUUGGUGACUGAUUGGACAGAUGAGAAACACCGGUUAUAUAUCAAUUCCAUGGAAGCUUCUUUUGUCAGCCAACUGCAUAGCCAGAAGCAUUUUUCUUCAAGCUUGUUAAGUUGGCUCCAGAAAAAGAGAAAGCUGCAGAAUCAGCGCCCUGAACUUAUGUCGACUAGUACUUCAGGCUCCACUGGGCAGUUUGAGGUUUUGCAGGAGGGUUCGUGGAAGAGGCUUAAUUUCGAUGAUACUGAAUUUCAAGCAGAUGUCCUAGGCAGUCAACAAGACCUCUUGGUUAAUCCUUGGAUCAGGCAUUUCAAAUCUGGUUCGUCUAGCAAAGGACGGAGAGUAACAUCAGCGAAAUUGCAGGGGGAAUAUGAUGGUCAUAUAGGAGAACUCCGUGAAGUGGUUCCACAUUCGUCAAAGUCCCACUUCACACAAACAUCCAAUCAUCUUUCUCACAUGUCUGUGCAGAAAUAUUUUGGCAACAAUUCUGAAAGCGAGACAUCCUUUUCAGCUGAAAUGGGUAUGCUGCUUUCUGUUUACGAAUUUUGUUAUUCUUUACGAAGUUGAUAUGCCAAAUCGAGGUGAGUUUUAUUCCUAGCCAUGUUGUGGUGGUGAACCUCAAGUUUGAAAAUGUUUGUGAGCAACUUGACGUACAUGAUUCAGACAAAGGCAAACAGUGAUCCUUAAUAGGUUCUUACUAAUGCCAAACCAGCAACAUCUUAGCUCGGUUGUUGUGUUUUCAUCUGGUGGCAGUUUCUUGUUUUAUGCUCAUUCUCUUGUCGUACUUCUUUUGCUUUUCUGUUCUCUCCAGAUCGUGAUUUCCAGUGCGUGGAUCAUUCUUGCUUGUAUGCAUCCCUUGCCUUAUCAACUAGGUCCUUAUUAAGCUUCAAGUAAUCUUUUUACCAGUGACAAACCAGGUUACACAGACAUGGCGACAUAAUGUGUAAAAGUUCAAUUGAUCAACUGAACUUUUAAAGUAAGCUACCAUUGCAGUGCUGAAGCCAGAAACUUAAACCACAUGGGCACCAGUGAUCAGCUGAAGUGACAUCAUAGGGCCAGAUGGGGUGUUGGUAUAGCAUAAUAUUUUCUGGUUUUUGUUUUCCACAACUGCUUCAGGGAGUUGGAAUCAAUUCAUGGGGAAGCAAAAAUCAGUUGGGGUUUGGGUUUAUAAACACACCAGAACAAUCCGUUAUGGCACACUACGUGGCUUUGUUACCGAUAGCAUAUUUUUCACAUGCUAUGUCUUAUGGCAGCUUUACCAAGUAGUUCUACUGCAUUAUUAAGCUAUUAAGAAAUGUGAAUAUGCUAUUGCAUACUAGAGCUUGUCACUAUAAGAGUUAGGCAUAUUGAAGGACAUUAUGGGCGCCCGCGCCCACUGAUUUACAAUCCUGCUAUGGGAAUUUUUGUUGCUCCUGGAAAAUGUUCAAGCAUGUGGAAAAGCUGCACAAAGGCCGUCAAUUAGCUAUCCUCUAUCGCUAUUCUCUAACUUUUUGUGCCUUGCCGUAGAUCAUUCAUCUCCAUGCUUUUAGUGUGCCUUCAUGAGAAGAUAUGAUAUAGCAUCUUUUUCCUGUUUGUCAGAUGGCCAUGUAUAACCAUCUUUAUGUUCAGUAAUUCUGGAUUUUCUUGUUUGCAAGACUGUUGUGCUUUAUGGAAUCUAAAACAUGCAUCUGCUAUUAUGCAUCUUCGUGUUUAUAGACAAACAAUUUAAUUUUAAACAGCAGCUCAGUUGACAGUAUUUUUGUUUUAUUUCUAUAUGAAAGCUUCCAAUCACCGAUUUCUGUUAUUGAUGGCUCAAUUUCAGUGAACUAACAUACCCAUACAACGUCUGGAAAAUUUGCAUGUGAGACAUAAAAUGAGAGGCUUCGGAUCAAAAUUUUUCAGAAGAAGAAGGUGAAGAAAAUAAUUUUGUCAAGGGGAUUCAGAUGGAAGAGCCUGAGAGCAGGAAUAAUGAAGCUUCAGCCUUUGACCAAGUAAUGG
RNA transcript from Nymphaea colorata (pocket water lily), 2357 nucleotides. It is a transcript of the gene named cold-regulated protein 27-like, with no coding region annotated. The transcript has 5 exons. The record is from RefSeq and is a predicted model, not a curated record. NCBI's taxonomy places the organism in Eukaryota, Viridiplantae, Streptophyta, Magnoliopsida, Nymphaeales, Nymphaeaceae.